UGAACUGGACUGGCGGCCUGAACAAUCGCAAAGUCUAACGGAUACGAUGGAGUAGUAAGUCUUGCUGAUCUUUUGCUUGUACAGAGUCGGCUGGACGAGNGUGAGUAAUGCUUGAGGAACAUAGCCGUUGACGUCGGGGGACAACACGUUGCGACAUACAGUACUGCUAAUACCUGGCGAUAAUGUCUACGGGAUCCAAAUGCGCGCGCCUUCNGGUCCUCUCGCCCUUAUAACAUUGGUCCUCACAUGAUGAGAGACUUCAGCUUACCUCGGUGCAUGUGUAAUUGUGCCUCACCUAAGGGCGAUCGAAGUCUCCAUACCCUGCGUGUGUUGAAGAUAGCAUGACUCAGCGCAUCACUGGCGUACACUGAUGAAACAUCGGCCCAGAGCUCCUACGGGACGGGCAGACAGCAUGGUGAAUUAAUUGCACCAAUUGCGGCGCAAANCCAUGCAUGACACCUCACAUGCCCGACGCAUGAUGAUGAAAGAACGGACCUUCAGGNUGUGUAAUAGGCACUUUCAGGUCAGCGUACGUGAAUAGGUUGAUGUCAUGUUAUAGGUACCGUGCGUACGCUGUCGACCGGUUACUGACAGAAGAAAGCACCGGCUAACUCCGUGCCAGCAGCCGCGGUAAUACGGAGGGUCGCGAGCGUUAAUCGGAAUUACUGGGCGUAAAGCGUACGCAGGCGGUUUGUUAAGCGAGAUGUGAAAGCCCUGGGCUCAACCUGGGAACUGCAUUUCGAACUGGCAAAACUAGAGUGUGAUAAGAGGGUGGUAAGAAUUCUCAGGUGUACAGCGGUGAAAUGCCGUAGAGAUCUGAAGGAAUACCGAUGGCCGAAGGACGCCACCUGGGUNCAACACUGACGGCUCAUNUCCAAAGCUGGGGAGCCAACGGGAUUANAUAC
Molecule: ribosomal RNA, 905 nt
Filed under: Pseudoalteromonas sp. UST050418-565
Lineage: Bacteria; Pseudomonadati; Pseudomonadota; Gammaproteobacteria; Alteromonadales; Pseudoalteromonadaceae
Description: partial 16S ribosomal RNA
Rfam family: Bacterial small subunit ribosomal RNA (bases 540-905)
Source: RNAcentral